This 450-nucleotide ribosomal RNA is filed under the name uncultured prokaryote. Its description in RNAcentral is "bacterial SSU rRNA". It matches the Rfam family "Bacterial small subunit ribosomal RNA", at positions 355 to 796 of the family's 1533-position model. The record is from RNAcentral.
UGGGGGAUCUUGCGCAAUGGGGGAAACCCUGACGCAGCAACGCCGUGUGUGCGAUGAAGGCCCUCGGGUCGUAAAGCACUGUCAACAGGGAAGAUGGGUUCAUGCUCUAAUAGAGUAUGGGCUUGACGGUACCUGUGGAGGAAGCACCGGCUAACUCAUUGCCAGCAGCCGCGGUAAGACAGACGGUGCAAGCGUUGUUCGGAAUUAUUGGGCGUAAAACGCGCGUAGGCGGCGAGUUAAGUCGGAUGUGAAAGCCCGGGGCUCAACCUCGGAAGUGCAUCCGAAACUGGCUUGCUUGAAUCUUGGAGGGGGCAGUGGAAUUCCCGGUGUAGAGGUGAAAUUCGUAGAUAUCGGGAGGAACACCAGUGGCGAAGGCGACUGCCUGGACAAUGAUUGACGCUGAGGUGCGAAAGCGUGGGUAGCAAACAGGAUUAGAUACCCGGGUAGUCC